RNAcentral lists this unclassified non-coding RNA (293 nucleotides) under uncultured fungus. RNAcentral describes it as "partial contains 18S rRNA, ITS1, 5.8S rRNA, ITS2 and 28S rRNA". The record is from RNAcentral. Lineage: Eukaryota; Fungi.
AAGGAUCAUUGUCGAAACCUGCAUGGCAGAACGACCCGUGAACUCGUAUCUAAUCUGGGAAGGCAUCGGACGGGUCUUGGCCCGUUUGUUGCUUUCCAUGCUGAGGUAUGAACCGGCUGCUCUUUCGGGGGCACCGGUUCACAUCCCUAGCAAAGCAACGAACCCCGGCGCGAACCGCGCCAAGGAAAUUGAACAAAGAGAUCACACAUGUUGGCCCCGUUCGCGGGAUCCACAGGUGUUUUGAAUCUUGCAUAAUAACAAAACGACUCUCGGCAACGGAUAUCUAGGCUCUC